This 426-nucleotide long non-coding RNA is filed under the name Carica papaya (papaya). RNAcentral's name for it is "long non-coding RNA (CPAP_LNC006350)". The record is from RNAcentral. Lineage: Eukaryota; Viridiplantae; Streptophyta; Magnoliopsida; Brassicales; Caricaceae.
GUGAUAUCCUUACUGCGUUAGUGUAGUUUAUUUCUUAUUUAACAAUUUCAGAUCAGGAGGACUAGAUUCUAGAGCCCGAUCCGUAAGAAGAUUGUGAGUAGAUGCUAAAUAUUUUUUCUUUUCCAUUUAUUUUCUUAUUUCUUGUGUUUCUUUCAAAAGAGUGAAUUUCGUAAUGUUGUUUGUGUAAAGAAUAUAAACCUUAACCCUUUUAUUUCGCUUCCGCACUUAAGUUAUUAUCUAUUUUCUUUGGGUAUUUUCGGGGUCGUUACAACCACCCCCUUCGUCCCAACCUGCCUCCGCCAACAACGACAUAAAUCCACCACUCGAAGAGAAUAGUCACAACUCGUUCUAUUCCAAACUCGCCAAGCUGGAGUUCCCGAUCUUCGCCAAGGGUGACCCGACUGAAUGGUUGUGUUCGGUUGGCCA